AAAGGGGGGGGGUGCUAAUACAUGCAAGUCGAGCGGACCACUUCGGUGGUCAGCGGCGGACGGGUGAGUAACACGUGGGCAACCUGCCUGUAAGACUGGGAUAACUUCGGGAAACCGGAGCUAAUACCGGAUAAUCCUUUUCCUCACAUGAGGGAAAGCUGAAAGACGGUUUCGGCUGUCACUUACAGAUGGGCCCGCGGCGCAUUAGCUAGUUGGUGAGGUAACGGCUCACCAAGGCGACGAUGCGUAGCCGACCUGAGAGGGUGAUCGGCCACACUGGGACUGAGACACGGCCCAGACUCCUACGGGAGGCAGCAGUAGGGAAUCUUCCGCAAUGGACGAAAGUCUGACGGAGCAACGCCGCGUGAGCGAAGAAGGCCUUCGGGUCGUAAAGCUCUGUUGUUAGGGAAGAACAAGUAUCGGAGUAACUGCCGGUACCUUGACGGUACCUAACCAGAAAGCCACGGCUAACUACGUGCCAGCAGCCGCGGUAAUACGUAGGUGGCAAGCGUUGUCCGGAAUUAUUGGGCGUAAAGCGCGCGCAGGCGGUCCUUUAAGUCUGAUGUGAAAGCCCACGGCUCAACCGUGGAGGGUCAUUGGAAACUGGGGGACUUGAGUGCAGAAGAGGAAAGUGGAAUUCCACGUGUAGCGGUGAAAUGCGUAGAGAUGUGGAGGAACACCAGUGGCGAAGGCGACUUUCUGGUCUGUAACUGACGCUGAGGCGCGAAAGCGUGGGGAGCAAACAGGAUUAGAUACCCUGGUAGUCCACGCCGUAAACGAUGAGUGCUAAGUGUUAGGGGGUUUCCGCCCCUUAGUGCUGCAGCUAACGCAUUAAGCACUCCGCCUGGGGAGUACGGCCGCAAGGCUGAAACUCAAAGGAAUUGACGGGGGCCCGCACAAGCGGUGGAGCAUGUGCUUUAAUUUCGAAGCAACGCGAAGAACCCUUACCAGGUCUUGACAUCCUCUGACAUCCUGGAGACAGGACGUUUCCCCUUUCGGGGGGACAGAGUGACAGUGUGCAUGAUGUCGUCAGCUCGUGUCGUGAGAUGUGGUUUAAGUCCCGCUACGAGCGCGAACCAUUGAAUCCUUAGUUGGCCAGCCAGUUCCAGUUUGGGGCACACUCUAAAAGUGUG
This 1133-nucleotide ribosomal RNA is filed under the name Bacillus arbutinivorans. RNAcentral describes it as "bacterial SSU rRNA". It matches the Rfam family "Bacterial small subunit ribosomal RNA", at positions 31 to 1167 of the family's 1533-position model. Lineage: Bacteria; Bacillati; Bacillota; Bacilli; Caryophanales; Bacillaceae. The record is from RNAcentral.